This 213-nucleotide unclassified non-coding RNA is filed under the name plant metagenome. RNAcentral's name for it is "partial contains small subunit ribosomal RNA, internal transcribed spacer 1, and 5.8S ribosomal RNA". The record is from RNAcentral.
UUUCCGUAGGUGAACCUGCGGAAGGAUCAUUCAUAAUAAGUGUUUUAUGGCACUUUUUUAAAUCCAUAUCCACCUUGUGUGCAAUGUCAGGGUUGAUUUUUCUCUCGAGCGGAUCAGCCCCAAACAUCAACUAUAUCUCAACUCUUUGUCUGAAAAAUAUUAUGAAUAAAACAAUUCAAAAUACAACUUUCAACAACGGAUCUCUUGGCUCUC